AUUAUUUUUUUUUUUGAAAUCCUUGACCCCAGGGAAUGCCAAAUCCGCCACAAAUAUAGGAUAACCACUGUUCACACAGACAGAAUCUCCUCUGUAUUUGCACGUCGUCGCACAAGUACAAGAUACAACCACAAACAUAUACAAACUACAUACAUUCACCACAUCACAAUAUCAUGAUUCACAUUCAAUCAAUCAUAAGAUUAUAACGUUUCAUUCGUAAAUCCAUACCUAUUAAUUUAAAACGUUUCACAUCCGGAAACUCAUUUUGAAAGACUAGAAUCAUGAAAAGCAGAAAAUCCUUUUUAAAAUUGUUUUCCACACGGAAACCUUUUCUUUUAAAAACAGGCUAUCACGAGGGAUAGAACACCAUUUCCAUAAAUUCACAUGAAAACCAUAAAUACUUUAUUUAACAUCACAAGGCCGAUAUAUCCAAAUAAAGUAAAGUAAACUAAACCAUAAAAUAUCUAAGUCAUUUAUUCAUGUNUUUAUGAUUUGACUACGGUCGUCGUAUCUUCUUCUCUAUCCCCUGCCAUGUGCGCUGGCAAAAUUCUUCUUUUUAAAAGGUUCUAUCUUUUCCUUCCUUCCUCUUCUUUUCUUCCUUCUUUUAUUUCUCUUAUUCUUCUUCUAAAUUUGCUUGUCUAAAAGAAUUCUACAAAUUUUCUGACUUUUUCCUAUUUAUCGGCUAUUUUCUUCAAUUUUUCUCCUAAUUUUUUUAAAAAAAUACAAAAUAAAAAAUUUGUUAGAACCUUCUUGCUAGAGUAGUACUAUUUUUUGGAUUUUUUUUGUUUUUUAAUUCCUAAAAUUUAUGUCACGCCUUAGGGUCCCUUUGAAGUUUAAGAAUCAAAGCGGAAGAGUCCAAUAUAUAUAUAUUUUUUUGAAAUCCUUGACCCCAGGGAAUGUCAAACCCGCCACAACUACAGGAAACCCACUGUUCACACGGACAGAAUAUCUUCUGUAUUUGCACGGCGUCGCACAAGUACAAGAUACAAUCACAAAUAUAUACAAACUACAUACAUUCACCACAUCGCAAUAUCACGAUUCACAUUCAAUCAAUCAUAAAAUUAUAACGUUUCAUUCGUAAAUCCACACCUAUUAAUUUAAAACGUUUAACAUCCGGAAACUUAUUUUGAAAGACUAGAAUCAUG
RNAcentral lists this long non-coding RNA (1145 nucleotides) under Ananas comosus (pineapple). RNAcentral's name for it is "long non-coding RNA (ACOM_LNC006863)". Lineage: Eukaryota; Viridiplantae; Streptophyta; Magnoliopsida; Poales; Bromeliaceae. The record is from RNAcentral.